GACGAACGCUGGCGGCGUGCUUAACACAUGCAAGUCGAACGGACAGGCCAUGCUUUUGUUGGGUGCUCGAGUGGCGAACAGGUGAGUAACACGUGAGUAACCUGCCCUUGACUGUGUGAUAACUUCAGGAAACUGGGGCUAAUACCGGAUAGGAGCUCCUGCUGCAUGUUGUUGGUUGGAAAGUUUCGGCGGUUGGGGAUGGACUCGCGGCUUAUCAGCUUGUUGGUGAGGUAGUGGCUUACCAAGGCUUUGACGGAUAGCCGGCCUGAGAGGGUGACCGGCCACAUGGGGACUGAGAUAGGGACCAGACGCCUACGGGAGGCAGCAGUGGGAAAUAUUGCACAAUAGGCGGAAGCCUGAUGUAGCAGUGUCGCGUGCGGGAUGACGGCUUUCGGGUUGUAAACCGCUUUCGACUGUAACGAACAGUGAGUGACGGUAAUUGGUAAAGAAGCAACGGCUAACUACGUG
This 468-nucleotide ribosomal RNA is filed under the name uncultured bacterium. RNAcentral describes it as "partial 16S ribosomal RNA". It matches the Rfam family "Bacterial small subunit ribosomal RNA", at positions 28 to 507 of the family's 1533-position model. The record is from RNAcentral.